RNAcentral lists this microRNA precursor (52 nucleotides) under Otolemur garnettii (small-eared galago). RNAcentral describes it as "mir-1302 microRNA precursor family". It matches the Rfam family "mir-1302 microRNA precursor family". The record is from Rfam by way of RNAcentral. Lineage: Eukaryota; Metazoa; Chordata; Mammalia; Primates; Galagidae.
UUUUUAGUGUAAAUAUGUCCCAUGUGAUAGUUGGGACAUACUUGCACUAAAA